RNAcentral lists this ribosomal RNA (253 nucleotides) under Acidobacterium sp. RNAcentral describes it as "partial 16S ribosomal RNA". It matches the Rfam family "Bacterial small subunit ribosomal RNA", at positions 524 to 776 of the family's 1533-position model. RNAcentral also lists the same sequence under 2 other names. The record is from RNAcentral. Lineage: Bacteria; Pseudomonadati; Acidobacteriota; Terriglobia; Terriglobales; Acidobacteriaceae.
UACGUAGGUGGCAAGCGUUGUCCGGAUUUACUGGGCGUAAAGAGCGCGCAGGCGGUUGGAUAAGUCGAAUGUGAAAGCCCCCGGCUUAACUGGGGAGGGUCAUUCGAUACUGUCCAACUUGAAGGCAGGAGAGGGCAGCAGAAUUCCCGGUGUAGUGGUGAAAUGCGUAGAUAUCGGGAGGAAUACCAGUGGCGAAGGCGGCUGCCUGGCCUGUUCUUGACGCUGAGGCGCGAAAGCUGGGGGAGCAAACGGG